RNAcentral lists this long non-coding RNA (966 nucleotides) under Marmota monax (woodchuck). Lineage: Eukaryota; Metazoa; Chordata; Mammalia; Rodentia; Sciuridae. The record is from RNAcentral.
ACAACUACAACUAAAAAAGAUAUUUAAAAAAGAAAAGUUAAUAGAGAUGUUUCUAUUAAACUAUUAUUCUCCCCACCCCAUUUGUUAUAUAGGGAGAUAGAAGAAAGGAUUUUUUUUUUUGGUACCAGGGAUUGAACCCAAGGACCACAUCCCCAGCCCUUUUUUAUAUUUUACUUAGAGACAGGGUUUUGAUGAAUUGCUUAGGGCCUUACUAAUUUCUGAUGCUGGUUUUGAACUCUUGAUUCUUCUGCUUCAGCCUCCAGAGCCACUGGGAUUAUAGGAUGCGAAAUGGAAGAACAUUCUCCUCAAUAGAGACUUAGAGUCUGAUUUUGAGUUAACCUGUAACUUUUGUUUUUAUUUUAGAAGCGGAGGAUUCUGAUGACAGUGCUUGAAAUCUUGAUGCCAUUACUAUUUUCUGCAGUUGUAUUGUAUCUUCGUUUUAAUAGUGUCCCAAGAAAAAGAGCUGCUACUAAUUACAGUGCAAUUGAUGUCAGUUCGCUGCCAGACUUCUUCCAUCAGUUUCCUGUGAAAAAUAAAUUUCAACUAGUUUAUAUCCCUUCCAAGAGUGAGACUUUGAAGGCUCUCACUGAAAUGGUGGAAGAUACUUUCGAUGUUGAGUUUGAAGGUUAGACUUAAGGUGGGGAAAGGAUAGGGAAGGUAUUUUCACAUAGUAUGAAACUGUUUUCUGAGAGUUCUGCUUAUAGAAGUAAUUCCAAAUCUGAGGUUUUCAAAUUCUAAAGAGCCCACGCAGGUGGUAGUUGGAGGAAAACUAUCCAUGAUACAUUUUUAUUAUUUCAAAAAACACACUAGAGACAUAUAUUUAUAUCAUGAGGCUUCAAGGGUAAUCAAAAUGUUAAAUGUUAAUAAGUAUUUUUAACUAUCAUGACCCUAUUAUUUCAUGUUAAUCAGAAGAUCUGAUUGCCAGUUAUUACAUGUCUCUAAUAAAGAAUGGAAACCAUUCAGAGA